RNAcentral lists this unclassified non-coding RNA (265 nucleotides) under Hevea brasiliensis (rubber tree). Lineage: Eukaryota; Viridiplantae; Streptophyta; Magnoliopsida; Malpighiales; Euphorbiaceae. The record is from RNAcentral.
UGAAGGUACCUUCUUUCCAUCAUAUCGCUUUGAAGACAGUAAGUAAAGGACCGCAAUUAAAUCAGAGAACCAUUGUUGUAAAUGCAACUAACAAGGAAAUAGAAAUACUAGGGUUGCAAAUCAGCCAAGCAUUUGAGAGCUACCCAAAACUUGGCUCAAUGAAAAAUGUUCUCCUUUGAUUGACUAGGAAGAUGUAAUGUUUAUUUAUAAAAUAUGGAAGAUAUAAUUUAUGAUAUCCAUUAUAUGUAAGUGCCUAUUUAAAUAC